GGGGCUGUGGCGCAGGCUGGUAGCGCACCUCGUUCGCAACGAGGGGGUCAGGGGUUCGAGUCCCCUCAGGCUCC
RNAcentral lists this transfer RNA (74 nucleotides) under Angustibacter aerolatus. RNAcentral describes it as "tRNA-Ala". It matches the Rfam family "tRNA". From Rfam's summary of the family: Transfer RNA (tRNA) molecules are approximately 80 nucleotides in length. Lineage: Bacteria; Bacillati; Actinomycetota; Actinomycetes; Kineosporiales; Kineosporiaceae. The record is from RNAcentral.